UCGAGAAUCUUCCACAAUGGACGAAAGUCUGAUGGAGCGACGCCGCGUGAUCGAUGAAGUGCUUCGGUAUGUAAAGAUCUUUUAUGAGGGAAGAAGUUUAUUGACGGUACCUCAUGAAUAAGGGCCUGCAAAACUCGUGCCAGCAGCAGCGGUAAUACGAGUGGCCCAAGCGUUAUCCGGAAUUAUUGGGCGUAAAGGAUAUGUAGGUGGUUAUGUUAGUCGAAUGUCUAACCUCUGGGCUCAACCUGGAAACAGCAUUCGAAACGGCAUGACUAGAGUAUAGUAGGGGUAAGCGGAACUCAUAGUGUAGGGGUGAAAUCCGUUGAUAUUAUGGGGAACACCAAAAGCGAAGGCAGCUUACUGGACUAUUACUGACACUGAAAUAUGAAAGCGUGGGUAGCGAAUGGG
This 408-nucleotide ribosomal RNA is filed under the name uncultured bacterium. RNAcentral describes it as "bacterial SSU rRNA". It matches the Rfam family "Bacterial small subunit ribosomal RNA", at positions 355 to 776 of the family's 1533-position model. The record is from RNAcentral.